ACAAUGAAGAGUUUGAUCCUGGCUCAGGAUGAACGCUAGCUACAGGCUUAACACAUGCAAGUCGAGGGGCAGCAUGGUCUUAGCUUGCUAAGGCCGAUGGCGACCGGCGCACGGGUGAGUAACACGUAUCCAACCUGCCGUCUACUCUUGGACAGCCUUCUGAAAGGAAGAUUAAUACAAGAUGGCAUCAUGAGUCCACAUGUUCACAUGAUUAAAGGUAUUCCGGUAGACGAUGGGGAUGCGUUCCAUUAGAUAGUAGGCGGGGUAACGGCCCACCUAGUCUUCGAUGGAUAGGGGUUCUGAGAGGAAGGUCCCCCACAUUGGAACUGAGACACGGUCCAAACUCCUACGGGAGGCAGCAGUGAGGAAUAUUGGUCAAUGGGCGAGAGCCUGAACCAGCCAAGUAGCGUGAAGGAUGACUGCCCUAUGGGUUGUAAACUUCUUUUAUAAAGGAAUAAAGUCGGGUAUGCAUACCCGUUUGCAUGUACUUUAUGAAUAAGGAUCGGCUAACUCCGUGCCAGCAGCCGCGGUAAUACGGAGGAUCCGAGCGUUAUCCGGAUUUAUUGGGUUUAAAGGGAGCGUAGAUGGAUGUUUAAGUCAGUUGUGAAAGUUUGCGGCUCAACCGUAAAAUUGCAGUUGAUACUGGAUAUCUUGAGUGCAGUUGAGGCAGGCGGAAUUCGUGGUGUAGCGGUGAAAUGCUUAGAUAUCACGAAGAACUCCGAUUGCGAAGGCAGCCUGCUAAGCUGCAACUGACAUUGAGGCUCGAAAGUGUGGGUAUCAAACAGGAUUAGAUACCCUGGUAGUCCACACGGUAAACGAUGAAUACUCGCUGUUUGCGAUAUACAGCAAGCGGCCAAGCGAAAGCGUUAAGUAUUCCACCUGGGGAGUACGCCGGCAACGGUGAAACUCAAAGGAAUUGACGGGGGCCCGCACAAGCGGAGGAACAUGUGGUUUAAUUCGAUGAUACGCGAGGAACCUUACCCGGGCUUAAAUUGCAGAUGAAUUACGGUGAAAGCCGUAAGCCGCAAGGCAUCUGUGAAGGUGCUGCAUGGUUGUCGUCAGCUCGUGCCGUGAGGUGUCGGCUUAAGUGCCAUAACGAGCGCAACCCUUGUUGUCAGUUACUAACAGGUCAUGCUGAGGACUCUGACAAGACUGCCAUCGUAAGAUGUGAGGAAGGUGGGGAUGACGUCAAAUCAGCACGGCCCUUACGUCCGGGGCUACACACGUGUUACAAUGGGGGGUACAGAGGGCCGCUACCACGCGAGUGGAUGCCAAUCCCAAAAACCUCUCUCAGUUCGGACUGGAGUCUGCAACCCGACUCCACGAAGCUGGAUUCGCUAGUAAUCGCGCAUCAGCCACGGCGCGGUGAAUACGUUCCCGGGCCUUGUACACACCGCCCGUCAAGCCAUGGGAGCCGGGGGUACCUGAAGUGCGUAACCGCGAGGAGCGCCCUAGGGUAAAACUGGUGACUGGGGCUAAGUCGUAACAAGGUAGCCGUACCGGAAGGUGCGGCUGGAACACCUCCUUU
This 1528-nucleotide ribosomal RNA is filed under the name Phocaeicola vulgatus. RNAcentral describes it as "bacterial SSU rRNA". It matches the Rfam family "Bacterial small subunit ribosomal RNA". Lineage: Bacteria; Pseudomonadati; Bacteroidota; Bacteroidia; Bacteroidales; Bacteroidaceae. The record is from RNAcentral.